GCCUUGCUAGCUCAAUGGCUAGAGCGUGUGACUUUUAAUCCCAAGGUUGCGGGUUCGAGUCCCGCGUGAGGCU
Trichophaea hybrida is the source of this 73-nucleotide non-coding RNA. The record is from the annotation of a GenBank genome assembly. NCBI's taxonomy places the organism in Eukaryota, Fungi, Ascomycota, Pezizomycetes, Pezizales, Pyronemataceae.